UGCACGUGUGUGUGUGUGUGUGUGUGUGUGUGUGUGCGCGCACACACACACACACACACACAUAUAUA
Molecule: non-coding RNA, 68 nt
Organism: Podarcis lilfordi (Lilford's wall lizard)
Lineage: Eukaryota; Metazoa; Chordata; Lepidosauria; Squamata; Lacertidae
Source: the annotation of a GenBank genome assembly